Molecule: ribosomal RNA, 1355 nt
Filed under: Escherichia coli
Lineage: Bacteria; Pseudomonadati; Pseudomonadota; Gammaproteobacteria; Enterobacterales; Enterobacteriaceae
Description: partial 23S ribosomal RNA
Rfam family: Bacterial large subunit ribosomal RNA
Source: RNAcentral
CUGAAGCAACAAAUGCCCUGCUUCCAGGAAAAGCCUCUAAGCAUCAGGUAACAUCAAAUCGUACCCCAAACCGACACAGGUGGUCAGGUAGAGAAUACCAAGGCGCUUGAGAGAACUCGGGUGAAGGAACUAGGCAAAAUGGUGCCGUAACUUCGGGAGAAGGCACGCUGAUAUGUAGGUGAAGCGACUUGCUCGUGGAGCUGAAAUCAGUCGAAGAUACCAGCUGGCUGCAACUGUUUAUUAAAAACACAGCACUGUGCAAACACGAAAGUGGACGUAUACGGUGUGACGCCUGCCCGGUGCCGGAAGGUUAAUUGAUGGGGUCAGCGCAAGCGAAGCUCUUGAUCGAAGCCCCGGUAAACGGCGGCCGUAACUAUAACGGUCCUAAGGUAGCGAAAUUCCUUGUCGGGUAAGUUCCGACCUGCACGAAUGGCGUAAUGAUGGCCAGGCUGUCUCCACCCGAGACUCAGUGAAAUUGAACUCGCUGUGAAGAUGCAGUGUACCCGCGGCAAGACGGAAAGACCCCGUGAACCUUUACUAUAGCUUGACACUGAACAUUGAGCCUUGAUGUGUAGGAUAGGUGGGAGGCUUUGAAGUGUGGACGCCAGUCUGCAUGGAGCCGACCUUGAAAUACCACCCUUUAAUGUUUGAUGUUCUAACGUUGACCCGUGAUCCGGGUUGCGGACAGUGUCUGGUGGGUAGUUUGACUGGGGCGGUCUCCUCCUAAAGAGUAACGGAGGAGCACGAAGGUUGGCUAAUCCUGGUCGGACAUCAGGAGGUUAGUGCAAUGGCAUAAGCCAGCUUGACUGCGAGCGUGACGGCGCGAGCAGGUGCGAAAGCAGGUCAUAGUGAUCCGGUGGUUCUGAAUGGAAGGGCCAUCGCUCAACGGAUAAAAGGUACUCCGGGGAUAACAGGCUGAUACCGCCCAAGAGUUCAUAUCGACGGCGGUGUUUGGCACCUCGAUGUCGGCUCAUCACAUCCUGGGGCUGAAGUAGGUCCCAAGGGUAUGGCUGUUCGCCAUUUAAAGUGGUACGCGAGCUGGGUUUAGAACGUCGUGAGACAGUUCGGUCCCUAUCUGCCGUGGGCGCUGGAGAACUGAGGGGGGCUGCUCCUAGUACGAGAGGACCGGAGUGGACGCAUCACUGGUGUUCGGGUUGUCAUGCCAAUGGCACUGCCCGGUAGCUAAAUGCGGAAGAGAUAAGUGCUGAAAGCAUCUAAGCACGAAACUUGCCCCGAGAUGAGUUCUCCCUGACUCCUUGAGAGUCCUGAAGGAACGUUGAAGACGACGACGUUGAUAGGCCGGGUGUGUAAGCGCAGCGAUGCGUUGAGCUAACCGGUACUAAUGAACCGUGAGG